RNAcentral lists this ribosomal RNA (482 nucleotides) under uncultured bacterium. RNAcentral describes it as "partial 16S ribosomal RNA". It matches the Rfam family "Bacterial small subunit ribosomal RNA", at positions 28 to 507 of the family's 1533-position model. The record is from RNAcentral.
GAUGAACGCUAGCGGCAGGCCUAAUACAUGCAAGUCGAACGAGAUUAAGAGGCUUGCUUCUUAUGAAAGUGGCGCACGGGUGCGUAACGCGUAUGCAACCUACCUUAAUCAGAGGGAUAGCCCGAAGAAAUUCGGAUUAAGACCGCAUAAAAACACAGGAUAGCAUUAUCCAAUGUUCAAAUAUUUAUAGGAUUAAGAUGGGCAUGCGUGUCAUUAGCUAGUUGGCGGGGUAACGGCCCACCAAGGCGACGAUGACUAGGGGAUCUGAGAGGAUGACCCCCCACACUGGUACUGAGACACGGACCAGACUCCUACGGGAGGCAGCAGUAAGGAAUAUUGGUCAAUGGAGGGAACUCUGAACCAGCCAUGCCGCGUGCAGGAAGACAGCCCUCUGGGUCGUAAACUGCUUUUAUUCGGGAAUAAACCUUUCUACGUGUAGGAAGCUGAAUGUACCGAAGGAAUAAGGAUCGGCUAACUCCGUG